CUUGCUUUCUCCGCCGGCGACCGGCGCACGGGUGAGUAACACGUAUGUCAACCUGCCCCUGUCAGGGGGACAACCCGCCGAAAGGCGGGCUAAACCCGCGUACAUGCCACCGGGGCAUCCCGGAGGCAGGAAAGGCUUCGGCCGGACAGGGAUGGGCAUGCGGCGCAUUAGGCAGUAGGCGGGGUAACGGCCCACCUAACCGACGAUGCGUAGGGGUUCUGAGAGGAAGGUCCCCCACACUGGUACUGAGACACGGACCAGACUCCUACGGGAGGCAGCAG
Molecule: ribosomal RNA, 281 nt
Filed under: uncultured bacterium
Lineage: Bacteria
Description: partial 16S ribosomal RNA
Rfam family: Bacterial small subunit ribosomal RNA
Source: RNAcentral